Molecule: long non-coding RNA, 541 nt
Filed under: Homo sapiens (human)
Lineage: Eukaryota; Metazoa; Chordata; Mammalia; Primates; Hominidae
Description: HSALNT0097914
Source: RNAcentral
UGCACCGUCUAUCCACAUGCAAUGUAACACUGGAAAAUCCCAUUCCGACCCCAUGCUUCAGAAACGCUGGCAGAGAGCAUGAAGUGCUCACCCUCCCUGGGACUUGCAGGUGCCGGCCCCCUUGGGCAACUCAGGAAAAUCAAGGAAGGCCCCUUUAUUGCAUGAGGGCAUUGAAGUGUCACCGGAAAAAAAAAAAACACAAAGAACUACCUUUGGGUCUGAUAGUCUGCCCCAAAGGCAGGGGAUUAGCAAUUCCAACCCUGUCUUGUGGGGAGCUGUGGAGAGAGGGGAGCUGGAAUCCCAGGGAUGGCAGGAAAUUCAUUCUGAGGACAUUCAGAACCACAAGACCCUGCCCGUUCCCAGGUAGUAGGUUUAGGAUUCUCCAAAUGGCCUCUGGCCUCAUUUUCAGAAAGCUAUUGGCUUCUUAAUGGAAGGUAUUAGAAGAACCAUGUGACCUUUUGGGGCUAGGAACAACCAUAGGCACUGAAAGGUUGAAGGUGUGGCCAAGAAACUAAGGCUACAAGACCGUCAUCGAUGGGUA